UGGAGUGUAGCUUAAAGGUGAAGCAUUCGGCUGUUAACCGAAAGAUUGCUGGUUCAAGUCCAGCCAUUCCAGCCA
This 75-nucleotide transfer RNA is filed under the name Bacillus toyonensis. RNAcentral's name for it is "tRNA-Asn". It matches the Rfam family "tRNA". Rfam says of the family: Transfer RNA (tRNA) molecules are approximately 80 nucleotides in length. Their secondary structure includes four short double-helical elements and three loops (D, anti-codon, and T loops). Lineage: Bacteria; Bacillati; Bacillota; Bacilli; Caryophanales; Bacillaceae. The record is from RNAcentral.